This 85-nucleotide small RNA is filed under the name Epilithonimonas xixisoli. Its description in RNAcentral is "Chryseobacterium xixisoli Flavo-1 RNA". The record is from RNAcentral. Lineage: Bacteria; Pseudomonadati; Bacteroidota; Flavobacteriia; Flavobacteriales; Weeksellaceae.
GCGAAGCUGCAGCCCGACUUGAACGGAGCUCUUUUUCUUUUUUGACAAAAAAAGAAAAAAGCGGGAGUGGAAGGCGGAAAUAGCU